GCUCCAGGGCGGGCUUGGAAAUGGAGACAAACUCCUCCGAGCCGUUAAGGCUCAGCCGGACAGGGCUUAGGAGUCCCGAGCCCAGUCCUGUUCACCCCCAUUUUAUAGAAAGGGAAACUGAGGCCCAGACAGGGGAAAGUCACUUGCCGAGGUGUUUGCUGCAGACUGCGUUGACCGAACCUGCUUUUUCACAGCAGUCAGACAGCAAGCCCUCCCGUCCCUCCAGGACCCUAGUUCCUGGGGAGGAAGGCGUUCUCAGCGAUAAUGACCAGCAUUAAAGUGCUCCCCGUUACCGGCGUCACUGCCCCAGCCAGUGGAGGCCCCGGAGAGGGACUGAAGAUGUGUCACCUAACUUCUCUGAACCUUCCUCCCUCAAGGAGAACUGAUAAUCCCUAACUCACAGUUCUGUGAGGAUUGAAUGCCUUAAGCAUGCAGGUUAAGUGGCUACUGAAGGCAGUUUUUGUGGACAGAAACUGGUCCCAGCGUCAGAUCUGCGAUGCUGCCCAGGCAUGGUGGUGACCCUCUCUAAACAAGCACACUCAGAAUUUCCCUGGCUCGGCUGGGCGACUCAGAAGAAAACUGGCCAUCAGCUUCUGCCUCAAGCGGGUGCUGUGGCAAGGAAGACAGAGCAUGUGUGUUGUGAACACUCAUUAGAGGAUCAUCCCUGCUGUGCCAGGUGCCAUGGCGCUGGAUGCAGAAAGCAGGACACAUGGAAAGAUGGUGUGUUCACAAAGAAUUUGGAAGAAAGCCAGAUGGUGACAAGAGUGUGUCUCUGAAUGCCCCUUUUGGGGGUCACUAAAAAUGCCCCAGGGUUUUUAGUUAGACCAAAAAGGAGGCUUCAAAGAGAUGACUUCUGAGCCGGGUUGUGAUACAUCUAGGAUGUCAACAGGCAGAGAAAGGGCAGGGACUGGGAGUAAGGAAAGAACAUCUGUUCAAGGCAAAACACUGAUUACCAAAGUUUCUAUCAUCCUUAUGUUGACAACGGACAUAAUUUUAACCUUUUGUAUAAGCCAGACUGUAAAGGAUUAUUAGCAGAAUAAAAGCAUCUAUUGGGCCUGGU
RNAcentral lists this long non-coding RNA (1060 nucleotides) under Homo sapiens (human). RNAcentral describes it as "novel transcript". The record is from RNAcentral. Lineage: Eukaryota; Metazoa; Chordata; Mammalia; Primates; Hominidae.